GUCGAACGGUCUUCAGCAAUGGAGAUAGUGGCGCACGGGUGCGUAACGCGUAACCAACCUACCCACAUCUGGGGGAUAGCCCGCCGAAAGGCGGAUUAAUACCGCAUAAGCUACUUAGCCGGCAUCGGUUGGAUAGUAAAGAUUUAUUGGAUGUGGAUGGGGUUGCGUGCCAUUAGCUAGUUGGUUGGGUAACGGCUGACCAAGGCGACGAUGGCUAGGGGAGCUGAGAGGCUGGUCCCCCACACGGGCACUGAGAUACGGGCCCGACUCCUACGGGAGGCAGCAGUAGGGAAUAUUGGGCAAUGGCCGAGAGGCUGACCCAGCCAUGCCGCGUGCAGGACGAAGGCUUUCUGAGUCGUAAACUGCUUUUUUCCGGGAAGAACCACCCCCUUGCGAGGGAGCCUGACGGUACCGGGAGAAUACGCACCGGCUAACUCCGUGCCAGCAGCCGCGGUAAUACGGAGGGUGCGAGCGUUGUCCGAAUUUAUUGGGUUUAAAGGGUGCGUAAGCGGGCCGGUAAGUUUGGGGUGAAAGCCCGUUGCUCAACCACGGAACUGCCCUGAAAAACUGCCGGGCUUGAGUCCAGUCGAGGUUGGCGGAAUGGGCGAUGUAGCGGUGAAAUG
RNAcentral lists this ribosomal RNA (623 nucleotides) under uncultured bacterium. Its description in RNAcentral is "bacterial SSU rRNA". It matches the Rfam family "Bacterial small subunit ribosomal RNA", at positions 61 to 688 of the family's 1533-position model. The record is from RNAcentral.